This 275-nucleotide long non-coding RNA is filed under the name Pan troglodytes (chimpanzee). RNAcentral describes it as "long non-coding RNA NONPTRT012007". The record is from RNAcentral. Lineage: Eukaryota; Metazoa; Chordata; Mammalia; Primates; Hominidae.
GCAAAAUCACGGAGAGGCAUCCCUUUUUGAAUUUCAUGUGUAUGAAAAAUGAAGCCUGUGGCAUAGUGGGGGCAGAGUGGUAAAUUAUAUGGAGAGACAGAAGACUGAGAAAGGGGAAGGUUAUUUAAGGAGAUAGGCCUACGAUGGAUUUGGAGAUCCUGACCUGCUGGAGUACAGGGCUGAAUAAGAGAAGUGGUGUGGCUUUCAGGGCACUGGAGGAUGAAAGAGAAGGACAUAACCAUUUAAACUGGGAGUUAUGCAUGGCUGCAUCAUAA